GACGAACGCUGGCGGCGUGCCUAAUACAUGCAAGUCGAACGCACUCUCGUUUAGAUUGAAGGAGCUUGCUCCUGAUUGAUAAACAUUUGAGUGAGUGGCGGACGGGUGAGUAACACGUGGGUAACCUGCCCUAAAGUGGGGGAUAACAUUUGGAAACAGAUGCUAAUACCGCAUAAAACCUAAACACCGCAUGGUGUAGGGUUGAAAGAUGGUUUCGGCUAUCACUUUAGGAUGGACCCGCGGUGCAUUAGUUAGUUGGUGAGGUAAAGGCUCACCAAGACCGUGAUGCAUAGCCGACCUGAGAGGGUAAUCGGCCACACUGGGACUGAGACACGGCCCAGACUCCUACGGGAGGCAGCAGUAGGGAAUCUUCCACAAUGGACGAAAGUCUGAUGGAGCAACGCCGCGUGAGUGAAGAAGGUUUUCGGAUCGUAAAACUCUAGUUGUUGGUAGAAGAAUGUAUCUGAUAGUAACUGAUCAGGUAGUGACGGUAUCCAACCAGAAAG
Molecule: ribosomal RNA, 506 nt
Filed under: uncultured bacterium
Lineage: Bacteria
Description: bacterial SSU rRNA
Rfam family: Bacterial small subunit ribosomal RNA
Source: RNAcentral